Molecule: ribosomal RNA, 313 nt
Filed under: Staphylococcus aureus
Lineage: Bacteria; Bacillati; Bacillota; Bacilli; Caryophanales; Staphylococcaceae
Description: bacterial SSU rRNA
Rfam family: Bacterial small subunit ribosomal RNA
Source: RNAcentral
GAUAAUAUUUUGAACCGCAUGGUUCAAAAGUGAAAGACGGUCUUGCUGUCACUUAUAGAUGGAUCCGCGCUGCAUUAGCUAGUUGGUAAGGUAACGGCUUACCAAGGCAACGAUGCAUAGCCGACCUGAGAGGGUGAUCGGCCACACUGGAACUGAGACACGGUCCAGACUCCUACGGGAGGCAGCAGUAGGGAAUCUUCCGCAAUGGGCGAAAGCCUGACGGAGCAACGCCGCGUGAGUGAUGAAGGUCUUCGGAUCGUAAAACUCUGUUAUUAGGGAAGAACAUAUGUGUAAGUAACUGUGCACAUCUUGA